Molecule: RNA transcript, 989 nt
Organism: Lolium rigidum
Lineage: Eukaryota; Viridiplantae; Streptophyta; Magnoliopsida; Poales; Poaceae
Gene name: RNA-binding protein BRN2-like
Exons: 3
Source: RefSeq, a predicted model, not a curated record
GCUGCCCCCGGCGAAGACGGGGCGGCAUGGAGGAGAGCGCCAUCAAGCUCUUCGUCGGCCAGGUGCCCAAACUCAUGACCGAGGUCGAGCAGGCCGCCAUGUUCUGUGACGUCGCCAUCAUCAACGAGGUCACCGUCAUCCGCGACACGGCCACCAAGAUCUUGCGAGGUUCGUCCGGAUCCGUAUGCCCCAACCCGCAACGCCGGGUUUUCCUUCCCUCCACCCCAUCAUCCCGCACCUCCUGUCUCCUACACGCCGCCUCGCAUAGGACUUCUUCUCUCCAGAUCCCCACACCUCUCUCUCGAUCGCGUAUGUUACUGCCAUUGUACGGCGCUGCCCGUCGCCACCUUGUCCCGACCUGCAAUCCCCAUCCCCACAGGUCGCACGUCCCCUGUAGCUCAGCAGAAUAGCGCCUACCCUGGAUCCCGACUCCACGGCUCUGGACCUCUUCUCUUCCCGCAGCUACGCCCCCGUCUGUCUCCGCCACGCUGCCUCGCUCAAUCUCCAGCUUCAAUGUUAGACUUUUUCGUAGGUGAUCCAAGAUCUCUGAGGGGCGGUGCUCGAUCCGUAGACUGUGGGGCUUGACCCGUCUUUCCUUUGCUAGGAAGGCGAAGGAGAAGGAGGUCGGCGAAGUCACUGGCACUAGCCUGCGCGGCCGAGGAGUCUAGCACGGCAUACAACCCGACGAGGUGGCCAGGAGCAUCUACGAGAAGGCCCUCCACAAGACAUGGACAAAGGUGGUGGCGACGCGAAACAGCCAGGAGCGGAGCAACCGGCUAGAGAACCUGCGCUGGAGGUUCUGGAACGUCUCCAGGCUGGAGGUUCUGCUGUCUGCAAGCUUUUUUCAAACUUCUGCUGACCACUGCUGGUCUUGGAGUAUAAUUCUGAUGCUAUUAUGUUGAGGACUCUUUACGAGUCAACUACGGAUGGCAAGACAUUUGUUGACUGCUUCAAGGACCAGAAUAUCAUGCCCGGUAUCAAGGUUGACA